AGAUAUGCCAGGUUCACGUUGGCCUUGCGGCCGUCGAUGAUGGGGUUCGGGUCUUUGCAAGCCCUCUCAGCUGCCGCCCGGUCGGCCAUGGUCACCUGGUGGAGCAGAGACACAUCAGGGGCUGCCGUGGGGGGAACCAGGGGCGAAAGGGGCAGACGGCUCCGCCCUGGCACCGGAUGCUGCCACCCCUCUCUUCCCUUCCUCUGAGGGUGCCUGUGACCCAGGGUCCUUGAGCCAAAGCUCCUCUGAACCCUACCUGGGGCUCUCCCACAAAGAUGCCUCCUGGAUUCCAGCUCCUCCCGUCAAAGUUCAAGGCCUGGGAAAUGUGGCCUUCAAGGACAAAAAUAAUCCCCUGCGGGGAUAGGGCAAAAAUGAACCCCGAAGGGAGCUUGGGGGGCCGCCUGGACUUGCCCACCAGUGAGGGCCGAGACUUUCCUCUGAGAAGGAGUUUGCGACGCUAUGCUUGGAAGGACUUUAACGCCAGGAUAACUGCCUUGGGUCCCUUGGUCAGAAUUAGUUCUGACCUGAGAAUGCUUCACAGAAAGGAGGACAUCUGACCUGCGGGGUAUCAUGGGGAUGAAGGAGGACACCCCGCCCCACAUGGAAGGAGCAACAGACACGGAGCACAGCAGAGGCAUGAACGGCAUGCCAAGAAAGCUCUAGAAGUUUUGCUCAACAGUGACCACUAAUUCUCAUAAUAUACAAAGUGUAGUUUUUCUGAACAGUAACUCAAGCAGCAAGCUAAUAACAUCAAUCAUAUGUGAUCAUGACUUUGCACUGGAGAUAACUGUCCUUGAACUAAGAACAAUGAAAAACCCCUGAAGCAAAUUUCUCUUUUAAACUAAAAAGAUGCUAAUUUAUGUAACCCCCACAAUAAGCUGACAUUAACUGCUUAAAUGAAUGAGAUUUUACUUCAAUUUUUAAACAGCACUCAAAGCAA
RNAcentral lists this long non-coding RNA (940 nucleotides) under Homo sapiens (human). RNAcentral describes it as "RBM38 antisense RNA 1". Lineage: Eukaryota; Metazoa; Chordata; Mammalia; Primates; Hominidae. The record is from RNAcentral.